GACGAACGCUGGCGGCGUGCUUAACACAUGCAAGUCGAACGGAAAGGCCCUGGUUUUGUGGGGUGCUCGAGUGGCGAACGGGUGAGUAACACGUGAGUAACCUGCCCUUGACUUUGGGAUAACUUCAGGAAACUGGGGCUAAUACCGGAUAGGAGCUCCUGCUGCAUGGUGGGGGUUGGAAAGUUUCGGCGGUUGGGGAUGGACUCGCGGCUUAUCAGCUUGUUGGUGGGGUAGUGGCUUACCAAGGCUUUGACGGGUAGUCUGCCUGAGAGGGUGACCGGCCACAUUCAAACUGAGAUACGCCCCAGACUCCUACUGGGAUCAGCAGUGAGGAAUAUUGCACAAUGGUCGGAAGCCUGAUGCAGCAACUCCACGUGCGGGAUGACGGCCUUCGGGUUGUAAACCGCUUUCGCCUGUGACGAAGCGUAAGUAACGGUAAUAGGUAAAGAAGCACCGGCUAACUACGUG
Molecule: ribosomal RNA, 468 nt
Filed under: uncultured bacterium
Lineage: Bacteria
Description: partial 16S ribosomal RNA
Rfam family: Bacterial small subunit ribosomal RNA
Source: RNAcentral